Molecule: ribosomal RNA, 488 nt
Filed under: uncultured bacterium
Lineage: Bacteria
Description: bacterial SSU rRNA
Rfam family: Bacterial small subunit ribosomal RNA
Source: RNAcentral
AUUGAACGCUGGCGGCAUGCCUAACACAUGCAAGUCGAACGGCAGCGGGGUCUAGCUUGCUAGAUUGCCGGCGAGUGGCGAACGGGUGAGUAACGCGUAGGAAUAUACCUUUAAGUGGGGGAUAACUCGGGGAAACUCGAGCUAAUACCGCAUAAUCUCUGAGGAGCAAAGCUGGGGACCUUUUGGCCUGGCGCUUAAAGAUUAGCCUGCGUCCGAUUAGCUAGUUGGUGGGUAAAGGCCUACCAAGGCGACGAUCGGUAGCUGGUCUGAGAGGAUGAUCAGCCACACUGGGACUGAGACACGGCCCAGACUCCUACGGGAGGCAGCAGUGGGGAAUAUUGGACAAUGGGGGCAACCCUGAUCCAGCAAUGCCGCGUGUGUGAAGAAGGCCUGAGGGUUGUAAAGCACUUUUCAGUGGGAGAAAGGUUGAGCGUUAAUAGCGUUUAACUGUGACGUUACCCACAGAAGAAGCACCGGCUAACUCCGUG